CUGACCUGUGCAAGUGGAAGUUAAUGGACCCCAGUCUGACAGAAAAAAGAAAGAAAAUGGCACUGCACUUUCACCUUAGGCUUCCCACAUUUAUCUGAUUACAUUAAUAAGAUGUGAACCUCAGCUGUUCUAUUCUACAGAGGAAAAACCAUGUUAACCAUUGGUAUGAAAGGCUGAAAACCUGAUUUGAAGUUCUUGACUAAAACUAAAAUUCAGCAAAAAUAUUAAUAAACACACUUCCUGCGUCACCGUUUCUCCAACCACUGCGUUUAAAGAAUGAGUUUGGAAAUCUUAGGUCCACAACUGACAACUUGACUUUGAUACUUCACAAUGGACAUUGUUGAGAAUCUUGUUUGAUAACAGCUAGACAUAGGAGUUUCUUGGUUAAAGGAACAUAAGUGUGUACUUACAUUUCUCACUGUUGUCACAAAACCCAUGGCCAAACCAGUUGAAAGAGAUUCAUUUGGAUCACAAUAUACUGAUAGUAUAAAAUGAAACCAGCGAGUGAUGAGUGAUGCAGAAGCUAAUCACUGACAAAA
Long non-coding RNA from Mesocricetus auratus (golden hamster), 539 nucleotides. RefSeq lists it as uncharacterized. Lineage: Eukaryota; Metazoa; Chordata; Mammalia; Rodentia; Cricetidae. The transcript is spliced from 4 exons. The record is from RefSeq and is a predicted model, not a curated record.